AACGCGAAGAACCUUACCAGCCCUUGACAUGUCCCGUAUGGGGCCGAGAGAUCGGCUUCUUCAGUUCGGCUGGCGGGAACACAGGUGCUGCAUGGCUGUCGUCAGCUCGUGUCGUGAAAUGUUGGGUUAAGUCCCGCAACGAGCGCAACCCUUAUCCUUUGUUGCCAGCACGUCAUGGUGGGAACUCAGGGGAGACUGCCGGUGACAAACCGGAGGAAGGUGGGGAUGACGUCAAGUCAUCAUGGCCCUUACGACCAGGGCUACACACGUGCUACAAUGGCAGAUACAAAGUGAAGCGAGCUCGCGAGAGUAAGCGGACCACAUAAAGUCUGUCGUAGUCCGGAUUGGAGUCUGCAACUCGACUCCAUGAAGUCGGAAUCGCUAGUAAUCGUGGAUCAGAAUGCCACGGUGAAUACGUUCCCGGGCCUUGUACACACCGCUAGUC
This 445-nucleotide ribosomal RNA is filed under the name uncultured bacterium. RNAcentral's name for it is "bacterial SSU rRNA". It matches the Rfam family "Bacterial small subunit ribosomal RNA", at positions 958 to 1398 of the family's 1533-position model. The record is from RNAcentral.